GAUGAACGCUGGCGGCGUGCCUAAUACAUGCAAGUCGAACGCUGGAGAUCUAGCUUGCUAGCUCGAAGGAGUGGCGAACGGGUGAGUAAUACAUAAGCAACCUACCCACGAAGACUGGGAUAAUCUCUGGAAACGGGGACUAAUACCGGAUAGGUAAUCGGAAGGCAUCUUCUGGUUAUUAAAGGUUAAAAACACUGGUGGAUGGGCUUAUGGCGCAUUAGUUAGUUGGUGAGGUAACGGCCCACCAAGACGAUGAUGCGUAGCCGGCCUGAGAGGGUGAACGGCCACAUUGGGACUGAGACACGGCCCAGACUCCUACGGGAGGCAGCAGUAGGGAAUUUUCGGCAAUGGGGGCAACCCUGACCGAGCAACGCCGCGUGAGUGAAGACGGCCUUCGGGUUGUAAAGCUCUGUUGUAAGGGAAGAACGGUAGAUAGAGAAUAUCUAAGUGACGGUACCUUACCAGAAAGCCACGGCUAACUACGUG
This 486-nucleotide ribosomal RNA is filed under the name uncultured bacterium. RNAcentral describes it as "partial 16S ribosomal RNA". It matches the Rfam family "Bacterial small subunit ribosomal RNA", at positions 28 to 507 of the family's 1533-position model. The record is from RNAcentral.